Molecule: long non-coding RNA, 936 nt
Filed under: Cinara cedri
Lineage: Eukaryota; Metazoa; Arthropoda; Insecta; Hemiptera; Aphididae
Source: RNAcentral
AUUAGUCAUUUUCGUUAUUAAAUUAUUUAGGUACCAUUUUUAUUUUAUUAGUUAUUAAUUUUGUUAUAACUCAUUGAGUAUUCCUCGUGCGGUAUUAUCUAAUUGUUUUUUUUUCUUCAGUGUUUUUCAAUCACUUCCAAUUCGGUUAAAAUGCAAUGUCACUAAAUGCGUACGACCUCUUCUGUUCUCUACUAUAAUUUUAUAUUAAAAGUAAUCAACAUAAAAUAAUAAUAUUUUUUAUAGAUAUUAGAACCUCUUGAAAUGUAUUUCGUCUGAUUAAGAUUUUAUUAAUUUUUUAUCCAAUUUUCUAUAACUGCUUUAUCUGUGUAUUAUAUGUAAAACAUACAACAUUCAAUGCAUAAUAUUUUGAAAUUAUAAUUUUAUAACACCUGAUGAUCAGAAAAAAAAAAGCCAGUCAACUCAAAGGUGACAUUUCUUAUAAUUUGACUAUACAAUUUCAAUAGGUAUCAAUAUUUAAUAAUUAUUAUAUUAAAGUUGAAUUUACCUAAGGUUUAUGAGUCUGAACGAAUAUUGUAAUUUAACUGAAUAAAACAACAAUAUUUAAUAGUUAUUUUUAUUGUAUGAUUUUGCAGAAAUGGAAACCGACCAAAUUUGCAUUAACAAACUACCUGAUGAAAUUUUACUCCAAAUAUUCCGAAACGUUUCAGCCAAGGAUUUUAUUGUAGUUCUACCAUUUGUGUGCAGACGAUGGCAGAGUAUUAUUCAAUCAGAUUCACACACAAUAAAGCAAAUUGGGAUGAUACAUUGCAAUAAUUUUCCGGGAAUUGUAGUAGAAUAUUUCUAUACUAAAACUGCAUUUGACAACUUUUUACAUCUAUCACCAGCCCAUUUUGAGAUUGGUAGUAGAACGAUUCAAACAUAUUUAGAUGCUUGUGAUUCCUCUAUUCAUUACUCAGAUACAAUAUAUAAGCAUAU